This 429-nucleotide ribosomal RNA is filed under the name Chloroflexota bacterium. RNAcentral describes it as "Chloroflexi bacterium partial 16S ribosomal RNA". It matches the Rfam family "Bacterial small subunit ribosomal RNA", at positions 355 to 776 of the family's 1533-position model. The record is from RNAcentral. Lineage: Bacteria; Bacillati; Chloroflexota.
UGGGGAAUAUUGCACAAUGGGCGCAAGCCUGAUGCAGCCAUGCCGCGUGUAUGAAGAAGGCCUUCGGGUUGUAAAGCACUUUCAGCGGGGAGGAAGGCGGUGAGGUUAAUAACCUCAUCGACUGACGCUACCCGCAGAAGAAGCACCGGCUAACUCCGUGCCAGCAGCCGCGGUAAUACGGAGGGUGCAAGCGUUAAUCGGACUUACUGGGCGUAAAGCGCACGCAGGCGGUCUGUCAAGUCGGAUGUGAAAUCCCCGGGCUCAACCUGGGAACUGCAUUCGAAACUGGCAGGCUAGAGUCUUGUAGAGGGGGGUAGAAUUCCAGGUGUAGCGGUGAAAUGCGUAGAGAUCUGGAGGAAUACCGGUGGCGAAGGCGGCCCCCUGGACGAAGACUGACGCUCAGGUGCGAAAGCGUGGGGAGCAAACAGG